This 250-nucleotide long non-coding RNA is filed under the name Physcomitrium patens. RNAcentral's name for it is "long non-coding RNA (PPAT_LNC000488)". The record is from RNAcentral. Lineage: Eukaryota; Viridiplantae; Streptophyta; Bryopsida; Funariales; Funariaceae.
UUGGGUGGCUUCAUACUCCAAUGUAAUUGUCGAACUUCCAAUGCCAAUAUCUCCUUUUUGAAUUAUUAAAUUAAUUCUAAAAUAUACUAAAAUUAUAAAAAAUCAAGUCUAGUCUCCAUAAGAAAAAAUUCAAUUCAAUUUAAUUGACAGAUUGCUAAAAAUCUUAAAGAUACUCAUUGACUUUCAAACUCCAAUUUUUGAAACUUCAACCCACAAAAAUCUUCACAUACUUUGAUCUAACUGUUUAAUU